This 163-nucleotide ribosomal RNA is filed under the name uncultured bacterium. RNAcentral's name for it is "partial 16S rRNA". It matches the Rfam family "Bacterial small subunit ribosomal RNA", at positions 355 to 507 of the family's 1533-position model. The record is from RNAcentral.
UGGGGAAUAUUGGACAAUGGGGGCAACCCUGAUCCAGCCAURCCGCGUGUGUGAAGAAGGCCUUUUGGUUGUAAAGCACUUUMAGCWGUGAAGAAGACUCUUGCGGUUAAUACCCGUACAGACCAUGACAUUAGCUGCAGAAUAAGCACCGGCUAACUCUGUG